AGUGAACGCUGGCGGUAGGCCUAACACAUGCAAGUCGAACGGCAGCACAGUAAGAGCUUGCUCUUACGGGUGGCGAGUGGCGGACGGGUGAGGAAUACAUCGGAAUCUACUUUUUCGUGGGUGAUAACGUAGGGACACUUACGCUAAUACCGCAUACGACCUACGGGUGAAAGCAGGGGAUCUUCGGACCUUGCGCGAUUGAAUGAGCCGAUGUCGGAUUAGCUAGUUGGCGGGGUAAAGGCCCACCAAGGCGACGAUCCGUAGCUGGUCUGAGAGGAUGAUCAGCCACACUGGAACUGAGACACGGUCCAGACUCCUACGGGAGGCAGCAGUGGGGAAUAUUGGACAAUGGGCGAAAGCCUGAUCCAGCCAUACCGCGUGGGUGAAGAAGGCCUUCGGGUUGUAAAGCCCUUUUGUUGGGAAAGAAAAGCAGCAGGUUAAUACCCCGCUGUUCUGACGGUACCCAAAGAAUAAGCACCGGCUAACUUCGUG
This 492-nucleotide ribosomal RNA is filed under the name uncultured bacterium. RNAcentral's name for it is "partial 16S ribosomal RNA". It matches the Rfam family "Bacterial small subunit ribosomal RNA", at positions 29 to 507 of the family's 1533-position model. The record is from RNAcentral.